AGGUGGGAGGAUUGCUUGAGCCUGGGAGGUGGAGGUUGCAGUGAGGCAAGAUCACACCACUGGACUCCAGCCUGGGCAACAGAGCCAGACCUGGUCUC
Molecule: microRNA precursor, 98 nt
Organism: Mandrillus leucophaeus (drill)
Lineage: Eukaryota; Metazoa; Chordata; Mammalia; Primates; Cercopithecidae
Source: Ensembl